AUGAGUUCAAAAAGACAUUGGGCUAAACAUGUUCCUUUACUGCAGGACAUUUUAUCUUUAAUGAAUUCCAGGAGUAUUUCUUGCCACAAGAACUCUUUUUUAAAAAUUAAAAAAAAAAAAAAAAAAAAGCACUGGAAAGAGGCAAGAACUAGGCUAUUACUUGGCCAGUGAUUGUUCAGUUACUUCUUCCUGCCUCAAUGUCCUGCUUUGUAAAAUGGGGAUCCUAAUACCUGACUCUGCUCCACAGAAUAAGAGAAAUGCUAUCUGUGAGAACACUUGAGCUGCUUUGGAAGAAAAGCAUGAGAAUAUUGUAAGUUCAAAGAGCAAAGAGUACAAAAUAAGACAAUGAACACAGCAAGAAAGUAACAGAAGAAACGAGCAGUACUGGGCACUUCGUCACAAGUUAUUCCCUAUUCUCUCUCUGCCAUCUAACUUCAGAAUAUCAUGCAGUGUCAUAGGGGCUGGGGUUUGUGUCCGUACUGCCAAACGCUGUCACGUUCUCUAGAACCCAGUACUACAGGGAAACGCGAAGGGAUGUAAUCCACCGCUGAGAAACAGACUUCCACUCCUCUGUCUGCCUCCCCUCUCAGGCUAUAAACCGUGAUAUUUGAUGUGAGCACAAGGCUUCACUUGUUUUACUACAAAUAUCCAAAUACGUGGGUGGACUCAUUCUAGCAAGGAAUGUCAUCACAGUUCAGAUCUGCUGAUUCCGCAGCAUGAAGCUGCCAACCAUUUAUUUGCCUCUCCCCCAAUAGCGUAUGAAGCACUUUUCUUACUGAAAAGUAGGUAGGCUGCAGUACGAAAACAGUUGAUUUCAUAGAAGCAUAGAGGUAGGCAGGCUCGGAAGGGUAACAGAGGGAAGGGAUGGGAGGGGGCAGAUAGAGGGAGGCCGGAUACCAAGUACCAAAGCACCAUGUUACACAGCACAGUUGGAUGACUUAAGUUUACAACAACUUAUUUUAUAUAUAUAUUUAUAUAUAUAUUUAAAGAUUUAUUUAUUUAUUUGAAAGUCAGAGUUACAGAGAGAGAGAGAGAGAGAGAGAGAGAGAGGUCUUCAUCUGCUGGUUUACUCCCCAAUUUGCUGCAACAGCUGGAGCUGCUGCACCGUUCUGAAGCCAGGAGCCAG
This 1126-nucleotide long non-coding RNA is filed under the name Oryctolagus cuniculus (rabbit). RNAcentral's name for it is "lncRNA (ENSOCUG00000039101.1)". The record is from RNAcentral. Lineage: Eukaryota; Metazoa; Chordata; Mammalia; Lagomorpha; Leporidae.